This is a non-coding RNA of Paramuricea clavata, 482 nucleotides long. Lineage: Eukaryota; Metazoa; Cnidaria; Anthozoa; Malacalcyonacea; Plexauridae. The record is from the annotation of a GenBank genome assembly.
CACACAGCUUUGUUUUUUUAUUUUUCUUGAGAAGGAAUAACUGAGUUACAAUGAGACCAGUAUCAACAAUUUCAAAAAGGUAUUGUACAAAAAUAUUACAAACAUAAGACACUUUAAUUAAAAACAGAAAACACACAAAGUAUGUCACUACAGAAACUCUAUUCUGUGAUAUAGACGAUAUUGCUUUAAGGAAACUUGCAGCUUUUAAGGACCUGUUUAUAUCGAAACUGGCUGGCCCGCUAAGUGAGACAGCCCGGUAAGUGAGAUCUCGCUGUCUACUUAUUUUUAUAGUAAAAAUUAUAAUUAAAAUUGUUUCUAUGUACAAGCGGGAGGCCCUGUUGCAGAGACCAGGAUGGAAAUUUCUCCAUAUAAACAAUCACAAGCAGGCUAGCCCAGUUGCCAGGAUGAAAGUUCAAUGAUACUGCCGCAAGCUAUUUUUAACAACUGUCAAAACAAUGUCAAAACAACAAAAUUGUCCCGGU